This 467-nucleotide ribosomal RNA is filed under the name uncultured bacterium. RNAcentral describes it as "bacterial SSU rRNA". It matches the Rfam family "Bacterial small subunit ribosomal RNA", at positions 328 to 793 of the family's 1533-position model. The record is from RNAcentral.
UGGCCAGACUCCUACGGGAGGCAGCAGUGAGGAAUAUUGGUCAAUGGACGCAAGUCUGAACCAGCCAUGCCGCGUGCAGGAUGACGGCUCUAUGAGUUGUAAACUGCUUUUGUACGAGGGUAAACCCCGAUACGUGUAUCGGGUUGAAAGUAUCGUACGAAUAAGGAUCGGCUAACUCCGUGCCAGCAGCCGCGGUAAUACGGAGGAUCCGAGCGUUAUCCGGAUUUAUUGGGUUUAAAGGGUGCGUAGGCGGUUUGAUAAGUUAGAGGUGAAAUGUCGGGGCUCAACCCCGCCCAGCCGUCGGAACUGCCGGGCUAGAGUGGGCGAGAAUUGCGCGGAAUGCGUGGUGUAGCGGUGAAAUGCAUAGAUAUCACGCAGAACUCCGAUUGCGAAGGCAGCGCACCGGCGCCCUACUGACGCUCAGGCACGAAAGCGUGGGUAUCGAACAGGAUUAGAUACCCGAGUAG